GAUGAAGAACGUAGCGAAAUGCGAUAAGUAAUGUGAAUUGCAGAAUUCAGUGAAUCAUCGAAUCUUUGAACGCACAUUGCGCCCGCCAGUAUUCUGGCGGGCAUGCCUGUUCGAGCGUCAUUUCAACCCUCAAGCACAGCUUGGUGUUGGGACUCGCGUUAAUUCGCGUUCCCCAAAUUGAUUGGCGGUCACGUCGAGCUUCCAUAGCGUAGUAGUAAAACCCUCGUUACUGGUAAUCGUCGCGGCCACGCCGUUAAACCCCAACUUCUGAAUGUUGACCUCGGAUCAUGUAGGAAUACCCGCUGAACUUAAGCAUAUCAAUAAGCGGAGGA
This 332-nucleotide unclassified non-coding RNA is filed under the name soil metagenome. Its description in RNAcentral is "partial contains 5.8S ribosomal RNA, internal transcribed spacer 2, and large subunit ribosomal RNA". The stretch from base 1 to 120 matches the Rfam family "5.8S ribosomal RNA", at positions 35 to 154 of the family's 154-position model. The record is from RNAcentral.